This 470-nucleotide ribosomal RNA is filed under the name uncultured organism. RNAcentral describes it as "partial 16S ribosomal RNA". It matches the Rfam family "Bacterial small subunit ribosomal RNA", at positions 335 to 797 of the family's 1533-position model. The record is from RNAcentral.
ACUCCUACGGGAGGCAGCAGUGGGGAAUUUUGGACAAUGGGCGAAAGCCUGAUCCAGCAAUGCCGCGUGAGUGAAGAAGGCCUUCGGGUUGUAAAGCUCUUUUGUCAGGGAAGAAACGGUGAAAGCUAAUAUCUUUUGCUAAUGACGGUACCUGAAGAAUAAGCACCGGCUAACUACGUGCCAGCAGCCGCGGUAAUACGUAGGGUGCAAGCGUUAAUCGGAAUUACUGGGCGUAAAGCGUGCGCAGGCGGUUUUGUAAGUCUGAUGUGAAAUCCCCGGGCUCAACCUGGGAAUUGCAUUGGAGACUGCAAGGCUAGAAUCUGGCAGAGGGGGGUAGAAUUCCACGUGUAGCAGUGAAAUGCGUAGAUAUGUGGAGGAACACCGAUGGCGAAGGCAGCCCCCUGGGUCAAGAUUGACGCUCAUGCACGAAAGCGUGGGGAGCAAACAGGAUUAGAUACCCCAGUAGUCCC